UCCUUCGGGAGGAAGAAACAUGUGAUUGAGCGGCGGACGGGUGAGUAACGCGUGGGUAACCUGCCUCAUACAGGGGGAUAACAGCUAGAAAUGGCUGCUAAUACCGCAUAAGCGCACAGUGCCACAUGGUACAGUGUGAAAAACUCCGGUGGUAUGAGAUGGACCCGCGUCUGAUUAGGUAGUUGGUAGGGUAACGGCCUACCAAGCCGACGAUCAGUAGCCGACCUGAGAGGGUGACCGGCCACAUUGGGACUGAGACACGGCCCAAACUCCUACGGGAGGCAGCAGUGGGGAAUAUUGCACAAUGGGCGAAAGCCUGAUGCAGCGACGCCGCGUGAGUGAAGAAGUAUUUCGGUACGUAAAGCUCUAUCAGCAGGGAAGAAAAUGACGGUACCUGACUAAGAAGCCCCGGCUAACUACGUGCCAGCAGCCGCGGUAAUACGUAGGGGGCAAGCGUUAUCCGGAUUUACUGGGUGUAAAGGGAGCGUAGACGGCAAGACAAGUCUGAUGUGAAAGCCCGGGGCUCAACCCCGGGACUGCAUUGGAAACUGCCUGGCUAGAGUGCA
Molecule: ribosomal RNA, 566 nt
Filed under: uncultured bacterium
Lineage: Bacteria
Description: bacterial SSU rRNA
Rfam family: Bacterial small subunit ribosomal RNA
Source: RNAcentral